RNAcentral lists this ribosomal RNA (775 nucleotides) under uncultured bacterium. RNAcentral describes it as "bacterial SSU rRNA". It matches the Rfam family "Bacterial small subunit ribosomal RNA", at positions 9 to 795 of the family's 1533-position model. The record is from RNAcentral.
GAUUUUGAUCCUGGCUCAGGAUGAACGCUGGCGGCGUGCUUAACACAUGCAAGUCGAACGAUGAUCCGGUGCUUGCACCGGGGAUUAGUGGCGAACGGGUGAGUAACACGUGAGUAACCUGCCCUUAACUCUGGGAUAAGCCUGGGAAACUGGGUCUAAUACCGGAUAUGACUCCUCAUCGCAUGGUGGGGGGUGGAAAGCUUUAUUGUGGUUUUGGAUGGACUCGCGGCCUAUCAGCUUGUUGGUGAGGUAAUGGCUCACCAAGGCGACGACGGGUAGCCGGCCUGAGAGGGUGACCGGCCACACUGGGACUGAGACACGGCCCAGACUCCUACGGGAGGCAGCAGUGGGGAAUAUUGCACAAUGGGCGCAAGCCUGAUGCAGCGACGCCGCGUGAGGGAUGACGGCCUUCGGGUUGUAAACCUCUUUCAGUAGGGAAGAAGCGAAAGUGACGGUACCUGCAGAAGAAGCGCCGGCUAACUACGUGCCAGCAGCCGCGGUAAUACGUAGGGCGCAAGCGUUAUCCGGAAUUAUUGGGCGUAAAGAGCUCGUAGGCGGUUUGUCGCGUCUGCCGUGAAAGUCCGGGGCUCAACUCCGGAUCUGCGGUGGGUACGGGCAGACUAGAGUGAUGUAGGGGAGACUGGAAUCCCUGGUGUAGCGGUGAAAUGCGCAGAUAUCAGGAGGAACACCGAUGGCGAAGGCAGGUCUCUGGGCAUUAACUGACGCUGAGGAGCGAAAGCAUGGGGAGCGAACAGGAUUAGAUACCCUGGUGGUC